This is a long non-coding RNA of Balaenoptera ricei (Rice's whale), 1433 nucleotides long. RefSeq lists it as uncharacterized. The transcript has 6 exons. Lineage: Eukaryota; Metazoa; Chordata; Mammalia; Artiodactyla; Balaenopteridae. The record is from RefSeq and is a predicted model, not a curated record.
UGUUUUUUGGGUUUUUUUUUUUUUUUUAUCCUUGUUGGUGUGGUGGCCCGGGAUUUGGGGUUGUUGUAUUUUGAUGGGUUUCGGAUUUUUGCUUCUGAUUUUUGCCUUUUGCAACUUUGUGGUGUUACGUAAAUUGUAGGAUCCCGCAUCGGUUGGAUUUUGUUUUGAGUGUUUUUGCCCCAAUCUCAUCUCUCAAGCGCUUUAAGGAAGAUGUGUUAUUUUAAUACUGAUACUAUUGAAAGAAGCUUGAAUUUUUUGUCGUAUGUGUUACAUCCCAACCCCCAUUUUUUGGGGGGGGUAGGGUGCAAUUUUCUUUCUCCCCAUGGACUUUUACUGAGAGGACGCUCCCCUGCACUUGAGAGACAUGUUCAAAGGAUUUGUUUUGGUUUGUUUCUUUCCAGGACAGCAAGUGAGGACAGAAUAGCCAUCACUGAGGCGUGUGGGACCGCAGGACACAACUGAAAACGGGUCUUCGUGGUUUGAUGGUCCUGUGUCAGAAAAUCAGGGUGAUCUGACUACCUGGGUUUGGAGAUGAGCAUCUUGUUUUCUGGCAGAAUUGAGGAAAGCAAGACUGCUUUGGGCUCUGUGUAAAUUGUAAACUGGUUCUCAGAACAAACUCCAAGUCACACCUAUCUGAAGCCGGCUUGACGGCAGGCAGAGCUGGAGAGCGGAAGAAUGUGCUGAGGAAGGGAGUGCUCUGUACUUUUCCAUUCACAUCUCCACAGUGGCUUUUCUUGUUUAUUUCAACCUCCACCAGCGGAACCCUGUCAGCUGCCUGAAAUCGGAGUCAUUAAACUGUUCCCUGAGUCUAUUUAUGAGAAAAGUAUCAGACAAAUUUCAACGGAAGGGCAUCCUACAAAAGACUUCACCAGUAUUCCACAGAACUAUCAAGGAAAGUCUGAGAAAUUGCAGCAACCAAGAGUAGCCUCAGAAGAUAUGACAACUUAAUGUAAUGUAGUAUCCUGGAUGGGAUCAUGGAACAGAAAACGAUAAGCCUCUCUGCCAAGUGGUUACAGAUCUUUGAACCAACACUGCUGUUCACUAUGGAGGCUGACAUUUAAAUUCUUGUUGGUGGAAUGAGCAUUGGAAAAUGUUAAAGGGUUUCCUGGGGCUUCCCUGGUGGCACAAUGGUUAAGAAUCUGCCUGCCAAUGCAGGAGACACCGGUUCGAGCCCUGGUCCUGGAAAAUCCCACAUGCUAUGGAGCAACUAGGCCCAUGUGCCACAACUACUGAGCCCGUGUGCCACAACUACUGAAGCCCGUGCACCUAGAGCCCGUGCUACACAGCAAGAGAAGCCACCAGAAUGAGAAGCCUGCACACCACAAUGAAGAGUAGCCCCUGCUCGCUGCAACUAGAGAAAGCCCGCGCACAGCAACAAAGACCCAACACAGCCAAAAAUUUAAAAAAUUAAUUAAAAAAAAAAAAAAAAAGGG